RNAcentral lists this microRNA (22 nucleotides) under Homo sapiens (human). Its description in RNAcentral is "hsa-miR-3156-5p". The record is from miRBase by way of RNAcentral. Lineage: Eukaryota; Metazoa; Chordata; Mammalia; Primates; Hominidae.
AAAGAUCUGGAAGUGGGAGACA